Molecule: long non-coding RNA, 1727 nt
Organism: Leopardus geoffroyi (Geoffroy's cat)
Lineage: Eukaryota; Metazoa; Chordata; Mammalia; Carnivora; Felidae
Exons: 2
Source: RefSeq, a predicted model, not a curated record
CAGGGCCAUCUUGGUUCCGACUGGGUGGCUGUACCACUAAACGCAGUGGAGACCAAAUUGGAUGUCUCAAGUGGGGCAGGGCCAGGUGAAAAUUGGUCGGCUCUGAGAGGGAAAUGGAGUUUCCCCACCACCUGUAGGCAGGCUGGCUCUGGCCACAGUGCUCCCCCUCUUCCCUUCGUCCCUUUUCUCCUGGCACCUGGUAGACCAAGAUGCCUCUCGGGAGCCGGAAUCCUGGGGGGAGUGCCAGCUUUCUCAAGCCCUUGGCCAAGCCCUGUUUGCCAGUUUGUUUCUAGCUCUGGAGGAGUUAGCCCACAGGCCUUCCGUUCCUGCCUUGUGACCCAGAAUGACUCCCGAGAGCGUUGGAGGGUAGGGCAAGGAGGCUGAAGUCAUAACCUCGUGGGGUGUGUUCUCCAGGAGCCACCCACCCGGGUGCUUCCUCCCUGGCUUCUGGGCCAGUGUCCUAAGUCUCUGCUCACUGGUCAGACCUUCCUCUCUUUUCUGCAGGAUGACCACUGUCGUCUCAAAGUCCCUCCUCACUUCCUCCCACUGAUGACUUCUCCAGCCCAUCGUCCGUAUCAUAGGGAAGGGAUACUUCACGAGUUUCAAGGUUGUAGUUUUAAUAGCAGUACCGAUGUUACUGAAUAUAUAGUAUCCGUCAGGCACUCUAGCAGGAAAUCCUGUGCGGUGACCAGCGACCGCUGUCCCCACUCUGAGGAGAGCUGAGCCUUAGGUCGUGCCCAAGAGCACAGCACACACCUUAUACUCACUACACCUGUGAUAUUCCCGGCGAUAGGGCCUGACCAUGCACAGUUAUCUCUGCCUCUCUGCCAGCUAGCUAGCAAAGGACCUGGCGUAUAGUAAGCAUGAAGUAAGAAAAAACCCCAAAACUUGUUAAAUGCAUAACUAUAUCAGAGAUGGCUUCUGAAGCACAGAAACUCAGCCCGGCUGAUACACAGGCUCUCCUGGAUCCUUUUUUCUAUUUACUCAGGGGGAGGUAUAAUAUCUAAAAUGGGGGCUGUUGGCUCCUACUGUGUGGAUGGUAUUGGUUUUGCUUCAUGCAGAAUCCGUUGACUGAUUGGCCUUUCACCUCGCGCUCCCAGAGUUUUUAUGGGCGACGGCCACGGAAGAUCGCUUCCUGUUUUGUGUAAGCUGCUCUUGAGGAUUUCCUGUAUUAUUUCAUUCCCCAUCCUUGUCGUCAUCUGGUGCUGCCUGGCAAGUCACCCGGAACGUGGUGGCCUGGUCCCUGGGGCUGUGUUCCGAGAGGGCAAGUCCGCUUACAAGCCCCGCCUUGCCUGGUGGUCCCAGGCUUCCGAUUGGCCAGAGGAGGUCACGUGGCCAAGCCUAGCGUCCGCGAGGGGAGGGCCCUUUUACUCCAGCGCCCGUGGAGGGAGGAGCCGAGAAACGUGACCCUGUUUAAUCCACUGCAAUCAAUCCGUUACUUUCGGGACAAAUUGCGGAUUUUCCACCAGAAAUUCAGUCUCUCUUGAGGUACUUAUGACUUCACUUGGGAGCCAAAAACGCAGUUAGUUGCAGCAUACAUAGCCUUCGGACUCUGGUCUGAAUUGAGAUUCCGACUUGAUCACGUACCAUUUUGUCUUUGGCGGGUUACUUGCAUCCAUAUAUUCUGGCUAAUGACGGAGUCUCAUUAUAUCCUAAUUCUCGUUCCCCUUACUCCUCUUUUACUUCUCUCCCUGGGAAGCUCAGAAUUAAAAUUCAGGGCGACCACA